This 497-nucleotide ribosomal RNA is filed under the name uncultured bacterium. RNAcentral's name for it is "partial 16S ribosomal RNA". It matches the Rfam family "Bacterial small subunit ribosomal RNA", at positions 28 to 507 of the family's 1533-position model. The record is from RNAcentral.
GAUGAACGCUGGCGGCGUGCCUAACACAUGCAAGUCGAGCGAACGGACGAGAAGCUUGCUUCUCUGAUGUUAGCGGCGGACGGGUGAGUAACACGUGGAUAACCUACCUAUAAGACUGGGAUAACUUCGGGAAACCGGAGCUACUACCGGAUGAUAUUUUGAACCGCAUGGUUCAAAAGUGAAAGACGGUCUUGCUGUCACGUAUAGACGGAUCCGCGCUGCAUUAGCUAGUAGGUAAGGUAACGGCUUACCAAGGCAACGAAGCAUAGCCGACCUGAGAGGGUGAACGGCCACCCUGGAAGGGAGAAACAGCACAGACGCCGACGGUAGGCAGCAGCCGGGAAUCUUCCGCAAUGCGGGAAAGCCUGACAGAGCAAAGCGGCGGGAGUGAUGAAGGUGCUCGGCUGGGAAAGCUCUGUUAGCAGGGAAGAACAUAUGUGUAUGUAACUGUGCACAUCUUGACGGUACCGAAGCAGAAAGCCCCGGCUAACUACGUG